This 395-nucleotide long non-coding RNA is filed under the name Carica papaya (papaya). RNAcentral describes it as "long non-coding RNA (CPAP_LNC007853)". The record is from RNAcentral. Lineage: Eukaryota; Viridiplantae; Streptophyta; Magnoliopsida; Brassicales; Caricaceae.
UUUGGUGUGAAGAGGGUUAUCUAUAUCCAUCCCCAUUUAAUCUAGGCAGUCCAUCGUAUUUAAUCUGGACUGUCCAAUCGCGAUUAAAUAGGGAGUGAAUCUUGACCGUCCAUCGCGAUCUAAUCUGGACCGUCUGAUCGCGUUUAAAUAUGAAGUAUAUCUAGACCGUUGAUCGCAUUUAAAUCUGGCCGUCCGAUCACAUUGGGAGAGGGAACGCAUCCAGGCUGUCCAUGCGCACAGAAACGGAUCUGGAUCGUUUGAUCGCGAACACGCAGAUUGCCCACGUGGCCUCCCGUGUGGUACCGUGUCAGUGUCCGUUACCACGCGGUGUGUUCUAGUUCGCCGAGGCUACUGACCAGACAUCCUAGAUGGCAUAAGUUUUUUAAAUUGUAUUU